Molecule: ribosomal RNA, 427 nt
Filed under: uncultured Myrmecia (in: green algae)
Lineage: Eukaryota; Viridiplantae; Chlorophyta; Trebouxiophyceae
Description: SSU rRNA
Rfam family: Eukaryotic small subunit ribosomal RNA
Source: RNAcentral
UCUGGUAAUUGGAAUGAGUACAAUCUAAAUCCCUUAACGAGGAUCAAUUGGAGGGCAAGUCUGAUGCCAGCAGCCGCGGUAAUUCCAGCUCCAAUAGCGUAUAUUUAAGUUGUUGCAGUUAAAAAGCUCGUAGUUGGAUUUCGGGUGGGCGCUACCGGUCCGACGAUUCGGUGUGCACUGGUCGAGCCCAUUUUGCUGCCGGGGACAGGCUGAUGGGCUUAACUGUCUGGCACCUGGAGUCGGCGAGGUUACUUUGAGUAAAUUAGAGUGUUCAAAGCAGGCCUACGCUCUGAAUACAUUAGCAUGGAAUAACACGAUAGGACUCUGGCCUAUCUCGUUGGUCUGUGGGACCGGAGUAAUGAUUAAGAGGGACAGUCGGGGGCAUUCGUAUUUCAUUGUCAGAGGUGAAAUUCUUGGAUUUAUGAAA